ACGGUACCUAACCAGAAAGCCACGGCUAACUACGUGCCAGCAGCCGCGGUAAUACGUAGGUGGCAAGCGUUGUCCGGAAUUAUUGGGCGUAAAGGGCUCGCAGGCGGUUUCUUAAGUCUGAUGUGAAAGCCCCCGGCUCAACCGGGGAGGGUCAUUGGAAACUGGGGAACUUGAGUGCAGAAGAGGAGAGUGGAAUUCCACGUGUAGCGGUGAAAUGCGUAGAGAUGUGGAGGAACACCAGUGGCGAAGGCGACUCUCUGGUCUGUAACUGACGCUGAGGAGCGAAAGCGUGGGGAGCGAACAGGAUUAGAUACCCUGGUAGUCCACGCCGUAAACGAUGAGUGCUAAGUGUUAGGGGGUUUCCGCCCCUUAGUGCUGCAGCUAACGCAUUAAGCACUCCGCCUGGGGAGUACGGUCGCAAGACUGAAACUCAAAGGAAUUGACGGGGGCCCGCACAAGCGGUGGAGCAUGUGGUUUAAUUCGAAGCAACGCGAAGAACCUUACCAGGUCUUGACAUCCUCUGACAAUCCUAGAGAUAGGACGUCCCCUUCGG
Molecule: ribosomal RNA, 553 nt
Filed under: uncultured bacterium
Lineage: Bacteria
Description: bacterial SSU rRNA
Rfam family: Bacterial small subunit ribosomal RNA
Source: RNAcentral